GCUGGGACUACAGCUGUGCGCCGCCACACUCAGAUAGCAGUGCUGUUUUUCAUAUCUCGACCUCUUGUACUUUUAAUUACAUGAGGUAAACUGGCAAAUUGUUAGUAUUACUUGUUUAAAUCAUUGCAAAAAAAAAAGACCUAAGAGGUCAUCAAUGAUGUAGGUCACAUCCUUUUUUUUUUUGUACCGGGGAUUGAACUCGGAUCCUUGUGCUUGCAAGGCAGGCCACCAAACCACUGAGCUAAAUCCCCAGCCCCUAAGUCACAUCUUUAUACUUCACAGAAAUAAAAAAGGAAUCUUAAUGAUUCCUAAUAUAACACAAAAGAGCCAAUUCCCACAUGUGUACACAUACAUCCUAAGCAUAUAUUUAUUCUCUUAGCAACUCUAUGAAACAGAUUCUGUUAUGAUCCCUCUUUUACAGAUGAGACCAUCCACAAAGAAACCAGGCAGAGAUAAGAAAAGGAGUACGGAGAGACCAACCGUGAAUCUCGGCAUUUCACAAUUCGAACAUUUCCUGUUGUGCAUUUACUAUACUAAUGUCAGAACUACAAAAC
This 554-nucleotide long non-coding RNA is filed under the name Fukomys damarensis (Damara mole-rat). RNAcentral's name for it is "lncRNA (ENSFDAG00000027845.1)". Lineage: Eukaryota; Metazoa; Chordata; Mammalia; Rodentia; Bathyergidae. The record is from RNAcentral.